Orbicella faveolata is the source of this 786-nucleotide long non-coding RNA. The record is from RefSeq and is a predicted model, not a curated record. Lineage: Eukaryota; Metazoa; Cnidaria; Anthozoa; Scleractinia; Merulinidae.
UGUAUGGAGUGAAGGGGAUACAGAAGGGUACUGACAUGCUAUGCGUAAUCUCUCUUUCUUUCUUUACAGGCCGGCUGGUUCUGAUGAUGAAAUGACAGUGCAGUAGUAGAGGAAUGGUAGCAAUGGAAUUUGAAACACUGGGGAAAAUUACUGACAACUUGGAAGAUGUGUCGAAGCCAAUCAAAGCUGUUGCAGUAUGAUUGUCUUCUUUAAUUAAUUGGACAAAUGGAAACUAUUACCAGCUUUUUUAAAGGUUAAGGGACUUGUCAAGCAGCAUAUAGACUCAUUUAACUACUUCAUAAAUGUGGAUGUAAGUACUGGAUUUGUUUGUUAAGGUUAAGACACUAGACCCGGGAUUGAGGAUUCCAGGAUUAUGCCCCAGUUUGAAUUCCUUGUACAAGACACUUGACAUGUACUCUCAGUGUCUAAAUUCUCCGUCCAGACUGCAGACCGUAGAAUGCAGCCUUAUUAACUCAUUGUAUUCUCAAGUAUUCUCAUUUCCAUUACUGAGAGCUAACCGUAAACAGGCAAACCUGGGUGAUAUUCAGGCUAACCAGAAUGCUACUUUGGCCCAAAUGUAGUCUGCAGUAUGCAGUCUGCAGUCUGGAAAUAUCAUACACGGGCAAUGGACUAGUAUCCCACCUAAGAGAGGUGAGGUAAGAUCAUAAACACCUUGGUGUCGUCAACAGUUUCUAGUCAGUGAAACUACAUGUACAUGCUGUCUCUCCAUUUGAGGACCUUUGUUUUGUUAAGACAUGUAUUGAUAGAAAUUUUUAUUCCAUAAUU